Long non-coding RNA from Pygocentrus nattereri (red-bellied piranha), 1220 nucleotides. RefSeq lists it as uncharacterized. The transcript has 3 exons. The record is from RefSeq and is a predicted model, not a curated record. NCBI's taxonomy places the organism in Eukaryota, Metazoa, Chordata, Actinopteri, Characiformes, Serrasalmidae.
GUUUACGGUGGAGCAUCAUCAACAAGGAGCACUACCGCCACCUACUGUUAGGAGGAAGCAGUGUAUUAAAGAGUGAUGGAGCAGUGAUUCAUUUCUGUAGACUACCUCCAUCAAAGUGGGAGAGGAGUCCUGUCUCUCUUCUUGAACUUUCUAUGGGGCAGAUGGUUUACUAGUAUGGAAACAUGUUUGCAGCUGGCUACACGAUGGACGCGUGGGAGAAGUGGCGAGUCGUGUGCCUGGUGGCUCUUUCCGUGGAGGACAUUGAGGAUGUCUACCUAUUCGGAACCAUGAUUACAGAGUGCCUCUCAUUACGAACCUGGGAGAAGAAACACCUGGAGCUAUCCUCAUAGCUGCUGAUCUUUUCUUGCCCCACCUGGCUUCUCUGGGAGAAUGCUGCCAAAGAGAGGAGGACAUCUUCACCCUAAAUAAAGGGUCCCAAAGACCACUGUCAGUCUCACUGCAGGCCUGAGGCUCUAGCUACCACAUUUUGUGCCUGCAAAAUUGAAAAUGACACACAGAAGCUGUCAAUAUGAGGCCAUGACUGUCAAAUAAACACAAUAAUUAAUAAACAAGCAUCAGUUUAAUGCAGUCGUGUGUCUGAAGGGGAUGUUGUCAGCAAGUGAGAGUGACCUGAGUCGUUAUAUUCACUCUUAAAUAUAAAGCUCCGUAAAGAACCAUCUUCUCCUUAUUCAUUACAAUUAAACAGGCUGUUUUUGUUAUUCUGCCUUUAAUAUAUAAUUUUGGACAAAAUAAUGUACAGAUAUCUGUAAAUUAAUUCUAAUUACUAUACUAGUAAUAUUAGUAUGAUUGGCUGCCCUCUAUUGUGCACAUUCAAAAAGCAAUCUGGGCUGAAAUACCCCUUAUAUCAUGAAUGGGCAAGGCUAAACUUCUAUAGGCCAAAUAGGGGAAUACUUUUAAAUAUGUUGGUUUUUGUGACAUCUGAAAUGGUGAAUUCAAAACUGGCUAUUUUUGAAGCUUAGUUUCCAUGUAUGGACUGUAUGGACUCUCCCUCUGGUCACUUGGGUCAUACCCUCAAGGGUAUGUCUUCAGGACCUUUAGUUAGGGAACAUGAUUGUGCCAAAAUCUAUUACAGUUAUACUUGAAGUUGAAGUUGUAUUGACUCCACACACCCUGUCUUGUCUCAAGCCUUUUUAUUUGAAUGAUCUGUUUUAAAACAUUAAUUGUACCUUUCCUUUAAAAAACCUAUUAAAUAUGCACAG